GCCAGCGAGAUCUAACCCCCCCUUCUCCUUCAUCCCGGCUAAUCCUCCGAGCUAAUCUCCGCCAGUUGUGAGCGACAGCCAAGGCAGGAAAGGCAGGAAUAGUCAGACGGUUACGGCACAGAACACAGAACAGCCUUACACCAGCCGAGCCUUUCAAUGGGGGAAGAAGUGUCGGUGCUGUGAGAACAGCGAGACGUCCCAGGGCCGGAGAUCCACGGGGGGGAGGAACCAUGUGCACGACUAUGAUGGUCCUCACCACCAUCGCUCUCAUCCUGCGCCAGAAGUUCUCCAACAAAAUCAGACCGCAGAGAGUGGACGCAGAGAGAGACGUGCCAUACAUGAAGAGCAACGGAACGACAGAAAACCAAAAAUGACAGCAGCGACCGCUCACGCCGAGACUCCCGCUAGGAGUUUGAGAAAAAGGCAACAAACAACAACAAGGAGGCCUGUCUUGAUUGUGGCGUCCCUUUGUGCGUCCAGCUCUCAUCACUGGGCCACGAAGCAGCAGCUCUCAUCACAUUUCAGCUCAGAGGAAGAGGAAACCUGACAAACGCCGAAUCGACAACAUUCCUCAGAAAUGCUUCAGCACAGUGUGAAAAGAGGGUUUAACGUGACAGAAAUGUGCCUCCAUGUAAAAAUACUAAUUAAAAAGCCUCAGUUCUUUUUUCUUUCUUUGAUUAAUUGAAUUUGUGUUUCUAAUGUAUGGGCGAGGAGAGGGUAAGCUUUGGCUGGAGGAAGCAUAGCAUUUCAGAAGUGGCCUGUUGUCUCCGCACAUGCAGGACGAAGUCAUGCGUUGGACUGUUUGUAGCGUGUAGGGCCAUCCUGUGAACCUUAAAGCUUUUUGUCGUACUCACAGAUGAAGUCCAGUGAUUGAUUAAACCAAUGAAAGCCAACUAUGUGCAACUGAUUGUCUGUUUUGUUUUGUUGUUUUCUCAUAUGCAUGAAGAAUUAAAGUGUUUUAUUCUCCGGC
This is a long non-coding RNA of Mugil cephalus (flathead mullet), 970 nucleotides long. RefSeq lists it as uncharacterized. Lineage: Eukaryota; Metazoa; Chordata; Actinopteri; Mugiliformes; Mugilidae. The record is from RefSeq and is a predicted model, not a curated record. The transcript is spliced from 3 exons.